This 2783-nucleotide long non-coding RNA is filed under the name Cricetulus griseus (Chinese hamster). RNAcentral describes it as "lncRNA (ENSCGRG00015043447.1)". Lineage: Eukaryota; Metazoa; Chordata; Mammalia; Rodentia; Cricetidae. The record is from RNAcentral.
CCAUUUGUGGAGGGCACAUGUGUGGAGCUCGGGGCUGUUUCUCUUCCUUCAUCAUUUGUUCCAAGGAUCGAACCCGGGUAGUCACAGUUGAGAGUGAUUGCCCUUACCUCAGCCAUCUCACUGACCUGGUUUUCUAAUCUCUUGAAUUGCCUUUUGAAAUCCUUUACAACAAGCUCUCGAGAUGGGAUGGCUCCCCCUCUCCCUUCACAGAAGGCACAGAAAGAAACAGGGGCUUGCACUGGCAGGUGAGAGAGGUGCAUUGGAACCCUGGAACAUCCAUCUCAACUUUUCCACAGUGCUCAGGAAUGGAUGGAAAAGACGGCAAAGUCUUCCUAGCCACUAUUCAUGGAUAGUAGGUGAGUGUCACAAAGCCGCUGUCCUGCUGCCCACCUGGCAGCUCCACAGAGCUGUGUAUCCCUGAGCUGAGAUGGUUGUGCACACAGCUGCCUUGCCUCUUGUAGGCACUCUGUCCAAGAGCUGGAGAACCCUGAAAGGGGGAGGGAGAAUGCACUGGAGGGCUGGAGACCCGCCUGGUGCUUCUGCCUGCCCGUGUAGGUGGCUGAGGAGGGACUACGUCAGAGGGCUGGCUCCUGAACUUCUGACCCGCUGGGUGUUCACAGAUGGCUCUCUGCAAGGGCAGGAAGGGCCUCACGCUGGUCCCUUGCCAGGGUGCUGCUACACACAGAGCCUGGACUGUUCCCUCCCAAGCUUCUUCCCUGGGGACCUGGGAGAGGCCAUGUGGCUGACAGAGCAGACCCUUCUAGCUGAGCUGCUUUGGGAUGUUCCUGCCACAUGUCUACAGGCAGAGACCUGGGACCUCUGCCUACUCAGAAGGGGCCCUGUGGUCACACUCCGCCCCGUGGCCUCAGAUGUUGGACAGCUGACUUUUCUAUUCCUUUGGAGAAAAGAUCUGGAUUCCUGCUUUCUGUCAUAUGUGAAUUCAGCCUCAGCCUCCAGAAAGCUUCCAACUGGCCCCUCUCCAUGGAACUAGUCUGGUUCACCGUGCUUCAGAUCCUGCCAUCCACGGCGACUCAGCCUUUGGGUGGCUCUGUGCUGCACGUCACUGCUCUAACCCUAGAGUGAGCUGAGAAAGCAUCCUCCUAAUUACAAGGUUCUUCUGAAGCAGUAUGUUACCUUAGCGCCAGCAGCUCGCACGUCUCACAUGCGACUCCCACCACGUCACUGGAACUCUUCCAAGAGCCACAUGGAGUGGCUGGCCCAUUGAAUGGACUGUUCUUUUCUGCAACCCCAUUUGGUUUCAUAGCAGUGUUUCUUCUUUCUUUCCCCUUGGAACCUUGGGAAAUCCCCCCAAAGAUGAGAGCCCAUGAGCUCUCAUCUCAUUGGCUGGCACAGACUGGCCAAGAGUGCUCAUCAGUGAAGGUUGAGCAUACAUGUUCAGUCAUCGCGCGUUGAUUGAGUGCUGUAUGUGCAUGGAUGCAAAGGUGAGCCUCUGAAGGACUGCAGAGACCAGUGAAUGAAUAAACAAAUCCGUGACUUCAAGACUCGUCUUCACUCCCGGAUGCCGUGAGGGCCCAGGGACUAUCUCUACCCAUCAGAGACAAAGGGACACCACGUCCAGGCACGGCGCCCUCUUGUCUCUGAAUCUCACUCUCCCCACAUGGAAGAUGGGGCCAGCGAUUACCAACUUCCUGGGCCAUGGGGGGUUCAUCGUGGAGCUGGUGAACCCCCUUCAUGCUCUCAUCUCUCCUAGGGCUGUUCAUGAGGUCAUUUGUAGUUUGCAGACACUACGGAGUCAGGCUGUUUUCUUGUAAAGAACGCUCCUGCGAUGGCUAAUCUUCAUUGUCAACCCCACAGAAUGGAAAAUCACCCGGGUACAUCCAUGUCUGCGCCCAUGAGGCUGUUUCCAGAGAAUUUAACUGAGGAGGGACAACCUGCCCUGAACAUGGGUGACACUGUUAUUCUUUUGUUUAAAAAGAAGAAAAGAGAAAUAUUGAGAUGGACAUAUUGACUAUAAGUUUAUUAUAAGGACCGGCAGAAUGGGGAGACUAAGAGGAGGAACAGGGUAAUGGCUGACCGCCAUGGCCGGUCGCCAUAGAGAGACAGAGCGGGGAAACAGAGAGAGGGGACAGAGAGCAGGAACAGGGAGGAGAGAGAGAGAGAGAGGGCAGGGGCCUAUCUUUUAAAGGGGUCCUCUGCACCUGCGUACAGACUUCUUUCCCAUGGAACCUUGGGCUGACCAGGGUAUUGCCUGAGUGGAUUCCACCAGGUAACAGGGGCAGGCCAGCAUAAUGCCUGAACCUUUCAGACACCAUCUCAGGUCAGGGGUUCCAGACUAAAUUAAAAAACAGACAACAAUCUGAGUGCUCCCUGACCUCUCUUUGUGUCCUGACUACAGAUGUCACCAGCUGCUUCUUGCUCUGGGUGCCCUAACUGGAAGUAGUUCUCUCAGCCAAGCCUCCCACCAUGAUGGACUGUACAUCCUCAGUCUUUGGGCCAAAAUAAACCCUUGCUGCAUUACGUUGCUUUGGUCAGUAUUCUCUCACGGCAACGAGAAAAUUUAGGAGUCCCUAAAUGCUCUAAGUAUCGGACCCCACCAAACCUGAGCUGGCUACUGCACAGAGCCAUGGUUAAUCGUGAGUGACAGGAAAAGGGGCUUCAAGGUGGAGGUAUCAUCCAAACUUGCUGUUUAGGGACACAUGAAGGGCUUUGGGAUCACAGAUGCUCCCUGGAAUUUGCAGGAGUACCACUGUGCCUUCACUAGUGACUUGGGAGGAUAAAAAGGACUACACCUCGUUAGUCUCUUGAGAUGCACAAUUUUAAAG